AGUGAACGCUGGCGGUAGGCCUAACACAUGCAAGUCGAACGGCAGCACAGUAAGAGCUUGCUCUUACGGGUGGCGAGUGGCGGACGGGUGAGGCAUACAUCGGAAUCUACUUUUUCGUGGGGGAUAACGUAGGGAAACUUACGCUAAUACCGCAUACGACCUACGGGUGAAAGCAGGGGAUCUUCGGGCCUUGCGCGAUUGAAUGAGCCGAUGUCGGAUUGGCUAGUUGGCGGGGUAAAGGCCCACCAAGGCGACGCUCCGUAGCUGGUCUGAGAGGAUGAUCAGCCACACUGGAACUGAGACACGGUCCAGACUCCUACGGGAGGCAGCAGUGGGGAAUAUUGGACAAUGGGCGCAAGCCUGAUCCAGCCAUACCGCGUGGGUGAAGAAGGCCUUCGGGUUGUAAAGCCCUUUUGUUGGGAAAGAAAAGCAGCAGGUUAAUACCCCGCUGUUCUGACGGUACCCAAAGAAUAAGCACCGGCUAACUUCGUG
RNAcentral lists this ribosomal RNA (492 nucleotides) under uncultured bacterium. Its description in RNAcentral is "partial 16S ribosomal RNA". It matches the Rfam family "Bacterial small subunit ribosomal RNA", at positions 29 to 507 of the family's 1533-position model. The record is from RNAcentral.